This 61-nucleotide transfer RNA is filed under the name Nicotiana attenuata. The stretch from base 10 to 61 matches the Rfam family "tRNA". Rfam says of the family: Transfer RNA (tRNA) molecules are approximately 80 nucleotides in length. Lineage: Eukaryota; Viridiplantae; Streptophyta; Magnoliopsida; Solanales; Solanaceae. The record is from Rfam by way of RNAcentral.
AUAAUUAAUCGAUUUAUAGCAGUCGGCUGUUAACCGAUUGGUCGUAGGUUCGAAUCCUACU